CGGUUGAUCCUGCCGGACCCUACUGCUAUCGGGGUGGGACUAAGACAUGCGUGUCGAACGACCCCAAGCCAACAUGAGGUCGUGGCAUACGGCUCAGUAACACGUGGCUAACCUACCCUCGAGACAGGGACAACCCCGGGAAACUGGGGCUAAUCCCAGAUAGAUGAGAACCCCUGGAAUGGGUUUUCGUCCAAAAGGCACUGCGGUUAUGCUCUGUGGUGUCGCUCAAGGAUGGGGCCGCGUCCGAUCAGGCUGUUGGUGAGGCAAUGGCUCACCAAACCUAUAACCGGUACGGGCCGUGGGAGCGGGAGCCCGGAGAUGGGAACUGAGACAAGGGCCCAGGUCCUACGGGGCGCAGCAGUCGCGCAAACUUUGCAAUACACGAAAGUGUGACAGGGCUAUCCCGAGUGCCGUCCGCUGAGGAUGGCUUUUACUCAGUCUAGAAAGCUGGGAGAAUAAGGAGAGGGCAAGUCUGGUGUCAGCCGCCGCGGUAAUACCAGCUCUCCGAGUGGUGUGGAUGUUUAUUGGGCCUAAAGCAUCCGUAGCUGGCCAGGCCAGUCCCCUGUUAAACCCAACGAAUUAAUCGUUGGUUUGCGGGGGAUACUGCCCGGCUAGGGGACGAGAGAGGCCGACGGUAUUUUCGGGGUAGGGGUGAAAUCCUAUAAUCCCGGGAAGACCACCAGUGGCGAAGGCUGUCGGCUAGAACGCGCCCGACGGUGAGGGAUGAAAGCUGGGGGAGCGAACCGGAUUAGAUACCCGGGUAGUCCCAGCUGUAAACGAUGCAGGCUAGGUGUUUGGGCGGCCACGUGCCGCUCUAGUGCCGCAGGGAAGCUGUUAAGCCUGCCGCCUGGGGAGUACGGUCGCAAGAUUGAAACUUAAAGGAAUUGGCGGGGGAGCACCACAAGGGGUGAAGCUUGCGGUUUGAUUGGAGUCAACGCCGGGAACCUUACCGGGCGCGACAGCAGGAUGAAAGCCAGAUUGAAGGUCUUGCUGGACGAGCUGAGAGGAGGUGCAUGGCCGUCGCCAGUUCGUGCCGUGAGGUGUCCUGUUAAGUCAGGCAACGAUCGAGACCCACACCCUCUGUUGCUUCCGAGGAGUUUUUCCGAGGGGCACUCUGAGGGGACUGCCGCCGAUAAGGUGGAGGAAGGAGUGGGCCACGGCAGGUCAGUAUGCCCCGAAUCCCCCGGGCCACACGCGAGCUGCAAUGGCUGGGACAGUGGGUUCCGACCCCGAGAGGGGGAGGUAAUCCCGAAACCCGGCCUCAGUUGGGAUCGAGGGCUGUAACCCGCCCUCGUGAACAUGGAAUCCCUAGUAAUCGCGCGUCAUCAUCGCGCAGUGAAUACGUCCCCGCUCCUUGCACACACCGCCCGUCGCUCCAUCCAAGUUGAGUUUAGAUGAGGCGCAGUCUAAUUUGGCUGCAUCGAGUCUAGGCCCGAUGAGGGGGGAGAAGUCGUAACAAGGUAGCC
RNAcentral lists this ribosomal RNA (1466 nucleotides) under uncultured archaeon. Its description in RNAcentral is "bacterial SSU rRNA". It matches the Rfam family "Archaeal small subunit ribosomal RNA". The record is from RNAcentral.